This 270-nucleotide ribosomal RNA is filed under the name uncultured Aurantimonas sp. RNAcentral describes it as "partial 16S ribosomal RNA". It matches the Rfam family "Bacterial small subunit ribosomal RNA", at positions 524 to 793 of the family's 1533-position model. The record is from RNAcentral. Lineage: Bacteria; Pseudomonadati; Pseudomonadota; Alphaproteobacteria; Hyphomicrobiales; Aurantimonadaceae.
UACGGAGGGGGCUAGCGUUGUUCGGAAUUACUGGGCGUAAAGCGCACGUAGGCGGACAUUUAAGUCAGGGGUGAAAGCCCGGGGCUCAACCCCGGAACGGCCUUUGAUACUGGGUGUCUUGAGUUCGGAAGAGGUGAGUGGAAUUGCGAGUGUAGAGGUGAAAUUCGUAGAUAUUCGCAGGAACACCAGUGGCGAAGGCGGCUCACUGGUCCGAUACUGACGCUGAGGUGCGAAAGCGUGGGGAGCAAACAGGAUUAGAAACCCCGGUAG